UUUGACCGCUACGCAGUUAAGCACCGAAUAACGUCUGAACUUCGGUGGAGAGCAGUGUAAAUGUGCUGAAGAACGCGGUUACAUGCUAUAGUGAAGAUGACACUGUCUUUCCUCGUCUUGGCCAUGACUCUCUGCAUCCUCCCUGGUGGCGUCAGGGCAGAGAUCUACACCUCCAUCGGUCAAAUGACAGAUCUCAUAUUCAGAGAGAGAGAGCUCGUCCAGUCCCUGAAAGAGUAUAUCCAAACUGAGAAGUCCAGACUUGCUUUUGUCAAAAGUUGGGCAGGUAAGCUGGAUGCACUGACACAACUGUCCACUUCAGACCCUGAGGGGUACCUGGCACACCCAGUCAACGCAUACAAGCUGCUAAAGAGGCUCAACAUGGAGUGGUCAGAACUGGAGAACCUGGUGCUGCAGGAUGUGUCUAAUGGGUUCCUUGCCAAUAUCUUGCUGCAUAAGCAGUUCUUUCCUGAUGAGGAGGACAAGAUAGGAGCGGCUAAGGCACUGAUGCGUCUGCAAGACACAUACAAGCUAGACUCUGAGAUCUUAUCAAGUGGCAAACUGCCAGGUGUGCGGCACAAUGGGUUCCUGACAGUGGAUGACUGUUUUGAUAUGGGAAAGAUUGCCUAUGAUGAAGAAGACCACUAUCAUUCAGCGUUGUGGAUGCAAGAAGUCCUGAGGCGGCUGGAUGCCGGCGAAGACGGUGCCGUAUCCUUGUCCGAAGCUCUGGAUUAUCUCAGCUUCUCUGUCUAUCAGCUGGGGGACCUUCAUCGGAGUGCGGAGCUGAUAAGGCGCUUGGUUUCAAUCGAGCCUAGCCAUCAGAGGGCAUUGGGAAACCUGAACCAUUUAGAGAUGAUGAUGUCCAAGAAGAUAGAGGAUGGCGAGGAGAUGCACCCAAGUCCUGCAACAGAAAGACCCGUCACACUGGAAACCUAUGAGCGUCCUCGUGACCAUCUGCCCGAGAGGGAGACCUACGAGGCCCUAUGCAGAGGAGAGGGUGUUCGAAUGACUGAACAGAGACGCAGCCGCCUCUUCUGCCGCUACCAGGACAGGGGCAGGAACCCGCGACUACUGCUGGCACCCAUGAAGGAGGAGGACGAAUGGGAUAACCCACACAUCGUGCGCUACCUGGACGCCCUGUCCCAGACAGAGAUGGACAGGAUUAAGGAACUUGCCAAACCUGUGCUUGCAAGGGCCACCGUAAGAGAUCCUGUAUCAGGCGUUCUGACAGUAGCAAAUUACAGAGUCUCCAAAAGUGCCUGGCUAGGAGAUGAGGUUGACCCCAUCAUUGCUCGUGUCAGUCAGAGGAUAGAGGACGUAACAGGACUGUCAUUGGAAACAGCCGAAUCCCUCCAGGUUGCGAACUACGGAGUAGGAGGCCAGUAUGAGCCACACUUUGAUUUUUCAAGGGUAAGCUUUGGAUGUAGACUAAUUCAAGUUCGGCGUUCUUUAAACGGGCUACAGUUCCAUCCUUUGUCUUUCAGUGAUUUAACAUUGGCUUCUCAAUGUACAGUUGACCGGGAAACUCGACAUGCCUAUAAACGCAGUUUCACUUUUCUCACUCUUUGUCAAUAAAAUCUUAAAAGUAUACCCGUCUUUAUUUAUUCAAUAAGAUUCAUUGAAAUCCACAAAUAAAGGUAUAAUACAAAAUAUCCAACACUCAUUUUUAUUAACUUCAAAUUGCACUAAGAUUAAAGCUAAAAUGUGAGAAAAAUAUCUUCACAGACUAUUUAUUGCAGAUCCUUGACUAGUUUAUCACCUUAACCAAUUUCAUUCCCACCUCCUUUUUUAUGAAACUCACUCAGAAACACUGGACAUGCACUAUAAACACUGAAAGGGAGUUGCAUGAAGGCAGUCCCACACUCCCAUUCUGUUCUGAAGGCAUUUUAGUGCCAACUAAUAGCCGGCUGUGAAAACAGGUUGUUUUUCCUUUGAAACAGACAAAAAUUUAAGGAAAAAAACUGCAGAAAAUUAAACUUUAUAAAUCAUAAAAAUUUGUAUUUUUUUAAAAUUCGUAACUCAAAUCUUUAACACUGGGAGCCAGUGCCAGUCCGCAUGCAGAAUACUGUUAUGGGUUUCAUGUAUUUCACAGAAGUUACAGAAAGAAUUUUUACUUUAUAAAAAUGGUGUUCUGUUAAUGUAUGAUUUUGUAAAACUUGUUAAUCUACUUUCAGAGAUGGCCCUCAGUACUGCUACAAGCUAUAUCAGUGUAUCAGACCGCAUUAAUUCAGAGGUGAAAAUGUGCUACAUUCUUAAAAUUUUGUUGUUCUAUAUUAUUUGCAUUGUCAUUUUAAUUGAUAACGUUGAUGUUUGAGCUUAAUCUCAAAUGUGAGCACACCAUACCAAAUAUGAAUCUACCAACACACUGUAAGUAAUAGCUUCAGGUGUGCCUGAGAAAGCGGACACUCGACAUUUUUAUGUGCAUUUUGCAACCAGACCAAACUACAAAGAACAUAAACGGUGUAUAUUGAACCUCAUUGACUGUAGGUUUCAUUUACAAUUAAAGAGUUAUUCAUGAAUUUCUUUCAGCGUCCUUUUGACAUCACCCUCAAGGUUGAUGGGAAUAGACUUGCCACCUACUUGAACUAUGUAAGUAUGAAGCUGUAGUCUGUGGAGUGUUCUACCUUUCCCUGGAUUUACUUUCACAUUUUAUCUUCAUAGAAAGAUGAGCCUGAUGCUAUCAAAUCAUUAGGCAGUGGAAAUCUCGAAACUUCUUUUUAAAGUUAAAUGAGCGACGUAGAAGCAGGGGGAGCAACGGUUUUCACGGACAUUGGAGCCGCAAUAUGGCCUAGAAAGGGCACUGCAGUAUUCUGGUACAACCUUUGGAGAAGUGGGGAGG
Scleropages formosus (Asian bonytongue) is the source of this 2836-nucleotide RNA transcript. It is a transcript of the gene named prolyl 4-hydroxylase subunit alpha-2-like, with no coding region annotated. The transcript is spliced from 13 exons. Lineage: Eukaryota; Metazoa; Chordata; Actinopteri; Osteoglossiformes; Osteoglossidae. The record is from RefSeq and is a predicted model, not a curated record.